AGAGUUUGAUCCUGGCUCAGGAUGAACGCUAGCGGCAGGCCUAAUACAUGCAAGUCGAGGGGCAGCGCUGGGUAGCAAUACCUUGGCGGCGACCGGCGUAAGGGUGAGUAACACGUGAGUAACUUACCUGUGACAGGGGCAUAACCGAUGGAAACGUCGACUAAUUCCCCAUAACAACGGGCUGGGCAUCCGUCCCGUUUGAAAAUUCCGAUGGUCACAGAUAGACUCGCGUCGCAUUAGCUAGUUGGCGGGGCAACGGCCCACCAAGGCGACGAUGCGUAGGGGUUCUGAGAGGAAGGUCCCCCACAUUGGAACUGAGACACGGUCCAAACUCCUACGGGAGGCAGCAGUAAGGAAUAUUGGACAAUGGAGGCAACUCUGAUCCAGCCAUGCCGCGUGAAGGACUAAGGCCCUAUGGGUCGUAAACUUCUUUUGACGCAGAGCAAUAAGGCCCACGCGCUGGGCCGACGAGAGUACGCGUGCAUCGGCUAACUCCGUGCCAGCAGCCGCGGUAAUACGGAGGAUGCGAGCGUUAUCCGGAUUUAUUGGGUUUAAAGGGUGCGUAGGCGGCUUUGUAAGUCAGCGGUGAAAUACCAGCGCUCAACGUUGGGGUUGCCGUUGAAACUAUAGAGCUCGAGUUCGGAUGCCGUGGGAGGAAUGAGUAGUGUAGCGGUGAAAUGCAUAGAUAUUACUCAGAACACCGAUUGCGAAGGCAUCUCACGAAUCCGAAACUGACGCUGAGGCACGAAAGCGUGGGGAUCAAACAGGAUUAGAUACCCUGGUAGUCCACGCAGUAAACGAUGAUAACUAACUGUCGGCGAUAAACGGCCGGUGGCCAAGCGAAAGCGAUAAGUUAUCCACCUGGGGAGUACGACCGCAAGGUUGAAACUCAAAGGAAUUGACGGGGGCCCGCACAAGCGGAGGAACAUGUGGUUUAAUUCGAU
RNAcentral lists this ribosomal RNA (944 nucleotides) under feces metagenome. RNAcentral describes it as "bacterial SSU rRNA". It matches the Rfam family "Bacterial small subunit ribosomal RNA", at positions 8 to 955 of the family's 1533-position model. The record is from RNAcentral.